Molecule: ribosomal RNA, 254 nt
Filed under: uncultured bacterium
Lineage: Bacteria
Description: partial 16S ribosomal RNA
Rfam family: Bacterial small subunit ribosomal RNA
Source: RNAcentral
UACGUAGGGUGCAAGCGUUGUCCGGAAUUAUUGGGCGUAAAGAGCUCGUAGGCGGUUUGUCGCGUCUGCUGUGAAAACGCGAGGCUCAACCUCGCGCCUGCAGUGGGUACGGGCAGACUAGAGCGCGGUAGGGGAGAAUUGGAAUUCCUGGUGUAGCGGUGGAAUGCGCAGAUAUCAGGAGGAACACCUGCGGUGUAGACGGCUUACUGGACCGUAACUGACGCUGAGGCACGAAAGCGUGGGUAGCAAACAGG